CCUACGGGAGGCAGCAGUGAGGAAUAUUGGUCAAUGGACGAGAGUCUGAACCAGCCAAGUAGCGUGAAGGAUGACUGCCCUAUGGGUUGUAAACUUCUUUUAUAAAGGAAUAAAAUGAGGCACGUGUGCCUUUUUGCAUGUACCUUAUGAAUAAGGAUCGGCUAACUCCGUGCCAGCAGCCGCGGUAAUACGGAGGAUCCGAGCGUUAUCCGGAUUUAUUGGGUUUAAAGGGAGCGUAGGCGGGACGUUAAGUCAGUUGUGAAAGUUUGCGGCUCAACCGUGAAAUUGCAAUUGAUACUGGCAGUCUUGAGUACAGGUGAGGUAGGCGGAAUUCGUGGUGUAGCGGUGAAAUGCUUAGAUAUCACGAAGAACCCCGAUUGCGAAGGCAGCUUACUGAACUGUGACUGACGUUGAUGCUCGAAAGUGUGGGUAUCAAACAGGAUUAGAUACCCGAGUAGUC
RNAcentral lists this ribosomal RNA (460 nucleotides) under uncultured bacterium. RNAcentral's name for it is "partial 16S ribosomal RNA". It matches the Rfam family "Bacterial small subunit ribosomal RNA", at positions 338 to 795 of the family's 1533-position model. The record is from RNAcentral.